GAUGAACGCUGGCGGCGUGCCUAAUACAUGCCAGUCGAGCGAACAGACGAGGAGCUUGCUCCUCUGACGUUAGCGGCGGACGGGUGAGUAACACGUGGAUAACCUACCUAUAAGACUGGGAUAACUUCGGGAAACCGGAGCUAAUACCGGAUAAUAUAUUGAACCGCAUGGUUCAAUAGUGAAAGACGGUUUUGCUGUCACUUAUAGAUGGAUCCGCGCCGCAUUAGCUAGUUGGUAAGGUAACGGCUUACCAAGGCAACGAUGCGUAGCCGACCUGAGAGGUGGCUCGGCCACAGGGAAACUGAGACGCGCCCCAGACCCCGAGGGGGGGCAGAAGGGGGAAAUCUCCAGAAGGGGGCAAAGGCUUGAGGGAGCAACGCCGCGUGAGUAAGAAAGGUCUUCGAAUCGAAAACCUUUUUUAUGGGGAAAAAAAAAAUGUGAAAGAAACUAUCCCCGUUUGGAGGGUACUAAUACAGAAAGCCACGCCAAAAUACGU
This 496-nucleotide ribosomal RNA is filed under the name uncultured bacterium. RNAcentral describes it as "partial 16S ribosomal RNA". It matches the Rfam family "Bacterial small subunit ribosomal RNA", at positions 28 to 506 of the family's 1533-position model. The record is from RNAcentral.